AAUGGCACUGGAAGAAUUCACGGGGUUCUUCGCACUCCCGUGGACUUUGAGUGCCAUCCU
RNAcentral lists this microRNA precursor (60 nucleotides) under Tribolium castaneum (red flour beetle). Its description in RNAcentral is "Tca-Mir-96-P3_pre stem-loop". It matches the Rfam family "mir-263 microRNA precursor family", at positions 16 to 78 of the family's 86-position model. The record is from RNAcentral. Lineage: Eukaryota; Metazoa; Arthropoda; Insecta; Coleoptera; Tenebrionidae.